Anopheles arabiensis is the source of this 5483-nucleotide long non-coding RNA. RefSeq lists it as uncharacterized. The transcript is spliced from 2 exons. The record is from RefSeq and is a predicted model, not a curated record. Lineage: Eukaryota; Metazoa; Arthropoda; Insecta; Diptera; Culicidae.
UGGUUUCUGAUUAUUAGCAUACCCUUUAGUUGAAAAUGUGUGACCUGUGACUAAUCUAAUUGCUUCAAAUUUCAUAACUAUUCUACCUAUGUGUGUGUAUUGCACCACAGUUUGGGUAAAAGUGUUGAAUUCAGCCGGUCUGCAAUUGUAUUAUGUACAGAUGAUUUAAAUAAUUACGAGAGGCACUACUAAAUACGAACGGAUAGUACACGAUCUUAAAUAGUAAUUUUGAUCUUGGUUAAAAGGUCCCAUAGGAAUGCUCGAGUGCACGGGGUGACGGUCUAUUACAUUCGCCUAUCUCAUUUUCUGCCCAUUCCAGAUGAACGUUUAAAAACGGGCCAGUGUUACGGAAUUGUUGUAACAUUCGUUUCCCAUAAAUGCUUCAUGCUUUUACUUCACAAAGCCACAAAAUCCCAUCUGGCAUCUGGUGAUUAGUACUGUUCUAUUCGCUAACGCCUAAAAGAAGUGUAGCACGAUACAAAACCUAAAUCUACCGUAAUCGCAGUUAUUCUUAUUGUAAAUGAGAAGGAGAGGAAACCUUAAUACCGCAAGCAUCUCUAUUACACGUUAAAGUACUGCGUUGUAUGAUAUAAAAAGACUCUAAUAAUGGCAGAAAAAAGGCCCCUCCCACAAGAAAACAAUGGUGUGGCGCGUUGGGGGGACAAGGAAAUGGCAAAACGGCAAUAGAGAAAAUGCGUACAACGGAACAUACAUAAACUAGUGAACUUCUUCUCAUACUCGGACAACAGAGCUACUUACAGUAUCGAUGUUCUCGCGCCUAACACACACACACACACAUACAAACACAAACACAAAACAAAGUAUAGAAGAGUUAACUUCAAUGCGAACCUAUUUAAAACUAAAUAAUACAAACCAACAACAACAUAAAAACAAACACACACACACACACACAGACAUAUGAAACAAAUAGGACUAAAAUGAGCGCGUGCGUGCGAAUAAGAUGUUAAUAAGAUAUAACAAAUUAUACACACCACUCACCAAUGUAUAUCGAUAUCGAGAGUGGGUACCAUAUUGAAAUUAAACACAACACGAAAAACAGCAACAAGAAAAGAGAACAACAAGUAAAACAACAUCAUUAUAAUAUUUUGUUGGUUGCAGGAAAACAAAAACUUAAGGCACACAUACUUAACACACGCAGUAACAGUACACAAACACAUACACAAACACUUAAUAACAAUGAAUCAUGGUUAAGCCGACAAAGGAAGAAAAACAUGAAUAAAACCCCACACGUUUAAGCUAAUUAUACACCAGCAGCAGGGGUUGGGGUGGGAACUGGAUCAACACAGCUUCCCUGCCACCCGGCGGCAUCUUCUUCCCGAAGCAAACCGAACAUAUAUUAUAUUAUCGGAAUCAAUUAGUAAACCAAUUUCUCGACGAAGACAAUUAGUGCAUAAUAAUAGUGCAAGUACCCACUACAAUGGGUAUAUGGACGAAACUACACACAUUCCAGCAGCAGCAGCUGUGUGCGGAAAACGGUUCGCAAACGACGGUAAUUUAUCUCCUUCAGGACAAAGAGACACGCGCGGCAGUAUAUAAAUAACUCUUACCAAACAUCGACCUGUAAACACGUUACGUUAGUUAUCUAGCUAUGAUAAUCUGUUCUUGAAAGUCAGUCAUGCUGGGCAAGCGCAAGGAAGGAGGAAGGAGUGAACGAGAGAAUCUUAUAUCGAGAAAAUGAUAUUUAUUGUUGUUGUUUCCAGUGCUUAGUGAUUGUUUAUGGUGAGGAGAGGGGAGGGCGUGAUAAAGCAGAGAGUAAGACAUCAAUUCAUUCUCCCACACACUCUUACGUGAUACUCAGCCUUCAGUAUGAUGAUGAUGUGGAAAUAGACACACACAAAAACCUCCCUCCUAUCUAAUCUACAAAAACAAAUCGGCUGCGAUGGGUAAAACGAACGAACGAAAACAUACUUUAACCAAAAUUAACACCCACCAUCACCCACCACCAUCACCACCGCCAGCGCGCGUUAUCCAUCGAAUACUCACGAAUUAUACGUAUUACACCAUUGAAUCUCAACAUAAGAUGGAAAAAUAUAACUUACAUAGCAAACCCAAAAAAUGAGCAUUACAUUCACACUCUAUAAUUGUUCCUUUACUGAUGUCUAGAUGUGAACCGACUUUCUUUAAGCUAAUUGUAGCUUAACAACUUGAAGCUGCUCUCCUGCGGAUACGCGUGGGGGAUGUCAUCAUGAAUGUGGCCGAUAUUGUUAGAUCCAUUUCGGGCAAGGCAAGUCCAUUACAAGUUCUUCCCCCUCGACACUUUGUUGUAUUAUCGUAAGGUGAGAGAAACAGCAAACAACAACACCUUUGUUAAUUUUGACUUAAGAAGAAGAUAUGCACACUGGAUUAACGCCAAGUAUAAGUUUUUAACAUACAUGCCUUUGUGCACUCGAUAACUGUUACUUUAUUUGCGUGAGACAGAGGCUGUGGUUUAAAAAAAUGACAAAAGGAAAAGGAUAACAACAAAGACAAAACACUUGUAGCGUAUGGAAGGAUGAUCGUAAAACCUCCUUCCCCUCCCCCCACCCCGUCGCAUUAACAAUCAUCAUAUAUCAAUGUUUGCAAGAGCACUAGAGUAAAUUUUCAGUUCGAUGCGUACGCGCUUUACCUUUUUCUCAAUCAGUUUGCUAUGUAUGAUUCGUUUUGUCAUAAACCCACCGAAACACGUUUUUUACGUUUGACAUGGCAAAGCCACUUCCACUUUCCAUUGUCAUUAAAUUCUCUUGCGUGUUUGUGUGUGUUAGUGGUGUUUUAAUGCUUGUGAUUGAUUGGGGCGGCACCGUCACCGUCAAUGCAACUAAGCGUUUAUUAUGUGUUUUACGAUCGAUGUGUGUCUCUCGAAGCGGGGAGGGGGAGGUGGCGGUGUAAAAGUUGUUGUUUCGUAGUGUGGGUGGGAGAAGAGAUAUAUUCUAUAUUAUGGAUGUUAAAGUUGAUCUUCCAUUUUCCAUGUAAAAUCAUAUACGUUUCCAUGCUUCAAAUGGCAUGCUACAUAUUAAAAAGAAGAAGAAAAAAAAAACACACACACACAUUCACACAUCACCUAACUUAACUAACUUGUGUCCCUUGUUGUCGUCGGUCUCAUGUUAGCACCCUUACCCUAAUAAACCUGCCUAUCAAAUGAUAUGAUAAAAGAGCGCGCACGAGCGGAUCAGUCGCGUUCGUUAAUUUGUCUUUAACUUGAUUGCGUUAUUAUGCUAAUGCUGGAGGAACAAUGCGCCGUGAUCAAGUAAAUUCUAUUCCCUCACUCUCACACACAGACACAUAAUACAAGCAAUGCAAAGAAGAAAGAAAUCAGGACAAAUUACCUUACCCAAGCGCGCGCUUUAUGGCAAACAAUUCCAGUUGAGAGACGAUUUCACCAAACAUAGAACAAUGCUACAGCGCUAUAGCCAGUCAGUCAGUAUUCAUCACAUAUAUGUACACACACAAACACACACAAUGCUAGUAUUUGAAGCGAUCACAAAUCAGAGUUUCUCGAUGUUAUACAUAUUUGCGUUGAUUCUAUUCUAGAUCAGAUAUAUUGGCCACUUUACGAAUGCGCGCUAGAAUAUUCAGAACUCAAAUGGAUGCGAAGGGGAGAGAAAACAAGAAGAAAACGCAAACGAUCGUUCGAGCCAGGAUGAAAGCAGGAGCAGGAAGUCCUAGCAUCUGGUUCGGUUUCCACUCAAAUAAAGGCAUUUCCCGUCCUUUCGAAGGUUUGACGAAAGCGCGGAACAUGGGAGAAAACCGGGGCAUUGAUAUAGCAGCCGCCAUCCCACCAUCAACGGGGAAUGUCAACGCGAUGCCAACCGAAAAGAGGGAAAGAAAAGUAUAGAAACACACACACACACACAGGCAGAACAAGAAAACGUUUUGCGGCGUGCGUGUUAGCGAAGUGCUUCGUAGAUAUGGUAUGGAUUUUAAGGAUAUAAUAGCAAACGUAUAAACAAAAAAAUAUGAAAGAUAUGUAAAAAAGAAAGAAAGCAACAGAGAUAAUGACAAUACAACCGAAAACGUGAUGCAACAUUAAACAAAACAACAACAACAACAAGGAGAAGAAGAAACAAAAAAGCAUAAGAGUGCGAAAACCAAAGGAAAACAAAAAUACGAAAAACAUAUAUUUGUGAAGGUCAACAAAACAAAACAAAACCGAACAUCAAUGUGUGUGGAUGGAGGAGAGCGAGAUGAAAAGUUCACCCAAGUAUCAAAAACAAAUAUUUCCUUCCCUGGAAUUUUCCCUAGUCCCAAACAAAAACCUCCUUAUCACCUCUAAAAAAAACAUUCCUUUCUCUAUCUAUCUCUCUCUCUCUCUCUCUCUGUCUGUCUCUCUGUUUGUCUCUGUAUGUAACUGUGUGCGUGGUGUUGAGUAAAAAUUAACGAACCUUACAAAACAGCAAACAAACAAACAAACAAACUCCUUAUUGAGAAAAUACUUAUAUAUAUAUCGGAUCGGUUCUAUACAAAAGGUGUGAAAAGAUUAUGAUGCAUUAUAAGCAGUCAGUGACGUGUUUAGGGAAAGCAAAAGGGGUCGCCGGUGCGUACGUGGAGGGUAAAGAAAUAGUUUUUAAUUUACGGAACAGAUUUCAUCACCAGAGAUUAAGUGACGGGGCAGAGGAAUGAGUAUGCAAUGGUUUAGUUCUCCCAGUACUGUGGUUAGCGAAUUAUAAUCUCUCUCCCUGUAAUGCCUCCCACAUUUACAACUUUGAAUCUCGAAUUUCGGGCUUUGAACACACACACACACUCACAUCCAAUGUCUUUUUAGUUGUGUUUGUGAUUGUGACUGGUGUUGUUGUCGUAUGUUGUGUUGUGUUGGUUUGCUUAUUUAAGACCUGUUUAAGAAACAAUUGAACGAGAAGUGUGUGUGUGCGUGUGUUUGAAAGAGUGUUGUGUGAUUAGCUAAUCGGGAAGGAUCUAGUUAGAGCGAACGUCCUUGUUUUUACGUUGUUUUUUUUUUAUCUUCUCCACGUUACUUACGUUCCGGCUCGUCUCACUUACGGCAAGUGUUUAACAGAAUCGGCUAGACUAACUUCUUGCAAUCAUGAUAACCUAAGAAGAAAUACUACAUACAACAAUAUCGUUCCACACUGGACAGGGUGAAACAAGGGGUAGGGGGGAGUGGUGCGAUUGCGCCAAAGGAUAAAGUGAGUGAGUGAUGCAAAGAAGCGGAAAAGGAGUAAAAGUGAAGGAAACACAACAAAACACACAAACGUACAUAUAUAUAAAUACACCCAACACACCCAACACGUCCUAACAAAAAAAAGGAAAAAAGGUGGAAAAGCAAACUAUUGUUGGUACACUCACUCACACACACACACACACACACUCUCACACAUUGUCACGAGGGAAGGGGAAAACUAGUCGGAAAAACUCUAAACCAAACACUCACAUACGAACAACAAACACACAACCCACAAACAAACAACACGGAGACGAUUAUUCUGUAUAGAGAAAAUAAAUUUUAAGGCAAUUAUUGAUUCAAACCAAAA